Molecule: ribosomal RNA, 497 nt
Filed under: uncultured bacterium
Lineage: Bacteria
Description: partial 16S ribosomal RNA
Rfam family: Bacterial small subunit ribosomal RNA
Source: RNAcentral
GAUGAACGCUGGCGGCGUGCCUAAUACAUGCAAGUCGAGCGAACGGACGAGAAGCUUGCUUUUCUGAUGUUAGCGGCGGACGGGUGAGUAACACGUGGAUAACCUACCUAUAAGACUGGGAUAACUUCGGGAAACCGGAGCUAAUACCGGAUAAUAUUUUGAACCGCAUGGUUCAAAAGUGAAAGACGGUCUUGCUGUCACUUAUAGAUGGAUCCGCGCUGCAUUAGCUAGUUGGUAAGGUAACGGCUUACCAACGCAACGAUGCAUAGCCGACCUGAGAGGGUGAUCGGCCACACUGGAACUGAGACACGGUCCAGACUCCUACGGGAGGCAGCAGUAGGGAAUCUUCCGCAAUGGGCGAAAGCCUGACGGAGCAACGCCGCGUGAGUGAUGAAGGUCUUCGGAUCGUAAAACUCUGUUAUUAGGGAAGAACAUAUGUGUAAGUAACUGUGCACAUCUUGACGGUACCUAAUCAGAAAGCCACGGCUAACUACGUG